GCGAAUCAGCAACAAACACAGAGUCGUCUUGAAACACUACCUCUUCUGGCGGUCGUACUUAUCGGCGCCCAUGUCCUCGCUUUGGUACUUUCUCUUAUUCUUUUUUAGUUAAUAGUAGUAAUAUGAUGAAAAUCUGUGUAGGGUAGAGUAUUUGAUACAUUGUGAUGAAAUUUGUGUAGGUAUACUGGAUUUAUCGACUAGCAAAUCAGAAGCAACACCCGAGGCUUAAAAAGCACUAGGAUUCAGUUUUUUUUUUCGUUUUCUGUCCUAUGUCACCCUCUUCCUGUUGAAAUUUUAUGUUUGGGGAUCUUUGAAUUGCUUGAGAUUUCAGUAAUUGAAAGUUGAAUGGGGAUAUUUGGUUGUAUGUUUUGUUAUAGUCUGGAUGUUUUGUGCUUCAACUUGUACUGGGUUGGAAUCCCUUUUUACAACAAUUUCACUUUUAUUGGUAGGCAACUUUAGUUAGUAAAAUUUCUUGAGAAUUUGGGUUCUUCAAAUUUUAAUAGGGUUAUUUAUUAUUAUUUUUUUUUGGUAGUAGGGUAAUUUCUUAACUAAGACAUGAAUAUGAACUUUCUGUUCUUUAUUUUUGAUUGUUAAAUGUAUUCACUGAAUAUCUAGCUGAAAGAGAGUGCUGUGAAGUUAUAUACAAAGCGACCAGAUUAUCACUGCUGCAAGUGUAAAGUGCCCAAAAUAUCUAUCAUGUCAUGCCUCCCUCUACCGUUCUCACCUUAAGUAUGCCUGCAGUCAAGGUUCGAAAAUGUGAUGUGUGUCUAACUCACACAUCACGCUCUUCCCUCUUACCUUGGAGAAUCUAUCACUCACGAUGAGUAAAAUGUGAUGAGAUAAUCUAACAUUAGCAUCUUCUUAUUUGAGAAGCUACA
RNAcentral lists this long non-coding RNA (878 nucleotides) under Nicotiana benthamiana. Its description in RNAcentral is "long non-coding RNA (NBEN_LNC039063)". The record is from RNAcentral. Lineage: Eukaryota; Viridiplantae; Streptophyta; Magnoliopsida; Solanales; Solanaceae.